Non-coding RNA from Podarcis lilfordi (Lilford's wall lizard), 131 nucleotides. The record is from the annotation of a GenBank genome assembly. NCBI's taxonomy places the organism in Eukaryota, Metazoa, Chordata, Lepidosauria, Squamata, Lacertidae.
CCCAUUGCCAGCAACCCCAGAUAUACCACACUGCCAAAUGACUGAGGAUCUAUCAUUAUCCUGGAAUCUUGAAUAAUGACAAAUCCUCAGUCAUGUGGCAGUGUGGUAUAUGUGGCAUUGCUGGCAGUGGA